CUUGCUCCCGGAUGUUAGCGGCGGACGGGUGAGUAACACGUGGGUAACCUGCCUGUAAGACUGGGAUAACUCCGGGAAACCGGAGCUAAUACCGGAUAGUUCCUUGAACCGCAUGGUUCAAGGAUGAAAGACGGUUUCGGCUGUCACUUACAGAUGGACCCGCGGCGCAUUAGCUAGUUGGUGGGGUAAUGGCUCACCAAGGCGACGAUGCGUACCCGACCUGAGAGGGUGAUCGGCCACACUGGGACUGAGACACGGCCCAGACUCCUACGGGAGGCAGCAGUAGGGAAUCUUCCGCAAUGGACGAAAGUCUGACGGAGCAACGCCGCGUGAGUGAUGAAGGUUUUCGGAUCGUAAAGCUCUGUUGUUAGGGAAAAACAAGUGCGAGAGUAACUGCUCGCACCUUGACGGUACCUAACCAGAAAGCCACGGCUAACUACGUGCCAGCAGCCGCGGUAAUACGUAGGUGGCAAGCGUUGUCCGGAAUUAUUGGGCGUAAAGGGCUCGCAGGCGGUUUCUUAAGUCUGAUGUGAAAGCCCCCGGCUCAACCGGGGAGGGUCAUUGGAAACUGGGAAACUUGAGUGCAGAAGAGGAGAGUGGAAUUCCACGUGUAGCGGUGAAAUGCGUAGAGAUGUGGAGGAACACCAGUGGCGAAGGCGACUCUCUGGUCUGUAACUGACGCUGAGGAGCGAAAGCGUGGGGAGCGAACAGGAUUAUAUACCCUGGUAGUCCACGCCGUAAACGAUGAGUGCUAAGUGUUAGGGGGGUCUCCGCCCCUUAGUGCUGCAGCUAACGCAUUAAGCACUCC
This 808-nucleotide ribosomal RNA is filed under the name Peribacillus acanthi. RNAcentral describes it as "bacterial SSU rRNA". It matches the Rfam family "Bacterial small subunit ribosomal RNA", at positions 79 to 870 of the family's 1533-position model. The record is from RNAcentral. Lineage: Bacteria; Bacillati; Bacillota; Bacilli; Caryophanales; Bacillaceae.